CCUCAGCGUACAUGCCAGCUAAUUACAGAUGCAGGAGCAAACCCCUGGCCCAUACAUCAGUUGGGUGUGGUGACUCACACCUGCAAUCCCAGCACUUUGGGAGGCUGAGGAGAGCAGAUCACUUGAGGCCAGGAGUUCGAGACCAGUCUGGGCAACAUAAUGGAGUUUCGCUCUUGUUGCCCAGGCUGGAGAGCAACGGCACAAUCUCAGCUCACCGCAACCUCCGCCUCCCGAGUUCAAGCAAUUCUCCUGCCUCAGCCUCCUGAGUAGCUGGAAUUACAGGAUUUUGGAAGCAUUGCCUUCUACAGAAUCCACAGUAGUCCGAAGUUCUUCUACGGUUUUUGUCAAACUUUGAUUUUCCAUCUCUAGCUUCAAUAAUCUACUUGAUGUCAACUCAUUCACCUCAUGG
RNAcentral lists this non-coding RNA (409 nucleotides) under Pongo abelii (Sumatran orangutan). Lineage: Eukaryota; Metazoa; Chordata; Mammalia; Primates; Hominidae. The record is from RNAcentral.